UUUGGUUGGAAGACCAUUUGAAUGGUUUCGGUGAGGUCCCGGUGAGGUCCGGAAGCAUUCGGGCGUUUUCGGUACGCGUAGGCGCUAAAACGGAGCCGAAAGGCCAUGUUGGGCCGUGAGCCAAAUUCGGCACUAGCGUGGAUGAAAAGAUGAUGAAAACACGCUCGAAAACAUGUUUGGAGAGUCUCGGUUCGAUUUGAAAAGAAUCGGAGGUCAAACGAGCGAGAACGAGCGAAAACGGAGAAGAAACGGUGAAAAAGCUGAAAUUUUGGUUAAGUCCUUAAAGGCUGGAAUUCUGGACCUACGGGGACCGGUCCCCCAAGUCCAGGGACCGGUCCCCUAUACAAAAAAUGGCCCCCGCGGGGGUAAUGUAAUAAAAUGAAAGUUUAGGGGCCUAUUUGCAGUUUGGGCAUUAUGAGAGUGUAUAGAGAGGGUUCUUUCUCUAUUUCUCUCAUUUCCCUCACCCCAACACCAUCUCUCUCUCUUUCUCUAAGCGUAAAGAAGAAAGGAGAAGAGAAGAAGAAAGGGAAGAAGAAUAAGAAGAAGAAGUUGGAGGAGAAGAAGUGGAUCAUCAUCACCAACAUCAUCUUCUUCUUCCGCUCACUAUUAGAGCAAGCUUAGCAAGGUAACGAAACACGUUGGCGAAGACGGUUCGGCAAUCCGACGAGCCGUUACAAAGAUAUUGAAGAAACGGAUGCUUGGAGCUUCGUUUCCGCCUGGAGGGCCGAGGCGACGUUCAUAAAUCGUGAAAUCGGGUCCCGAGCAUCGUAACGGCGAGGCGAAGAUCGUUAGCACUUGAAACGGCGAAGCGACGCGCUCUUGGAGAGCAACUGUGAGAUCGGGCCCAAACGGGUGCCGAGUGCCGCGGGAGGCCGAUUGCAAGUGUCGACGAGCAAUCGGAACGCGAGUUAAGGUGGGUUGUGUUUACCGAAGCGACUAGGUCGCCCUUUAUGUCUAAGAUGAUUAAGAAUCCAUGUUGAUGCAUAUGAAUGUAAAUGAGGCAUAUAGAUGAUGCAUAUAAAUGUAAAUAAUGCAUGUGGUUGAUUCAUGUAGCUAAUGCAUGUUAAUAAUAUGAUGCAAAUGCUAAGUAGAUCCAUGUAAAAUGAUAUGAUAUAGAAUACAUGCUAGUGAUAAUGCAAAUGAUAUGUAUGUGUGCAUUGGAAUAUAUGCUAGUUGCACUUAGCAUUAUGAGUUCAUGCUAGAUAGUAAAUGCAUAUUGGCAUCAUAGAAUGUAUGCGAGAUGAAAUGUGGAUAUCUAUAGUACUCGAUAUGACAAUAGGACGUCAAGUAGAUCGAGUGGCAUUGAACCUAGUGUUAAUAAACAUAGGUCGGACAUAGAUGACAUCGAACCUAGUGUUGUUGAACCUAGGAUAAAUAACGAGUGGCAUCUAACCUAGUGUUAAAGAACAUAGGUUGAGUAUGAACCUAGAGUCGGGAUCUAGGUGUGUGGCAUCUAACCUAGUGUUAAAGAACAUAGGUUGAGAACUGAACCUAGAGUUAAGGUAAACCUAGGUUGUGAAAUUGAGGCAUUAGACCUAGAGUCAGUUGGACCUAGGGUGGAAAGUGCAUUGGACCUAGAUAGGUCAAUAGUAUAGGGUUGGAUAUGGACCCUUGACUUGUGAAGUCGAUUCCGGAAUCCCAGUACUUGUGAACUCAAUAGUUCUUGGACCGCGGGUGUAUGCGGCGAUGUUCCUCUCCCACCGGAAAGAACUUUGAGGAUUAUGACUAAGCAAGAACAAAGAGCGCUAGGGUGUACGGCAUGUUCCUCUCCCUAUCGGGGAUCUUGGCUAUGGGUGUACGCGGCUAUGUUUCCUCUCCCACUAACGGAUCCCUGACCACGGUGCACGGACCUUCGGGCGGACCGUUGGGCGAUGUGGUUCUUGGCUUGCAGGCUGAGGUGCAUGCGACAGGAUCCUUCACCUCGAGCCGGGCAGAGCGCGGAUUAUCCGCUGUUGAUUGACUCGAGGCCGAGUCGGGUGGCUAGCUGGAAUAAGGUAGAUAGAACCUUGAGGGCUAGUGGUAAAUGUGAUAACCUAAGGUAGUGGAAACCUUAGAGUUGGAUGACAUGAGCUAAGAUUAGCGAGAUUGAUUGUAGAAUCAAUAAUUCUACUAGUUGUUGCAUAUAUUCCUGUUGCAUAUAGCAUGACAUCAUUGCAGUUGUGAGGCAAAGCAAGGUAAAGUUAGUUGCAUGUUUAUGAUAUACAUAUCUAUCUGUUUAUUGGACUAACUUGUAUUUGCCUCCCUUGGACCUGUUGGUCGAGCUCCUCCCUUGGGUGGCCGUACCCACUGGGAACCAUGGAGUUGGUUCUCACCCCACGUUGUUUUGGGGUUUUACAGGUUCGCACGUGAGCGGCGCGGCGGCGCGAGGCAAGGGCGUAGCUCCAUAGAUAGCGCCCUACCCCCAGAGACCAGAGCUAGCAGUACCCCGUCGACGUAGCUUAGGGGUAUAGAAAAUGAAAGCAAGCAAAUGUAUCAAAUUGUAAUCAAUAAAUGUUGUAAUAACUUAAUUGUAUUGGAAGUUGAAUGUAAUGGAAUUGUGAUGUAAAAUGAAUGGAUGUAAUAUCAUAGGAUGUGUUUAUGUUGAUUGAUACCUUCCUGAUGCAAUUCUGUUUGCUGAGUACUGUUCCUGGUUGGAACCUUUGUAUUGUACUUGUUGCGACGCCUAGGACGUACAGGGGAAACUCUGUCCGUUCGGCGGUCUGUCGGCGUGCCCGAACCGGACCAAAUUGGGAGCGGUCUCGGGGCGUGACAGAUAAAGUGGUAUCAGAGCAUAAAGUAGAGAAUGGGAAAUGGUUUAGCUGGACCUAGGAGACCUAGGAUAGUAAACCAUAGGAGAAUAAGGUUCGUGAGAGACGAGGACUUAUGAUUUGUGGCGAAAGAUUAAUGGAUUGGGUUGUGUCGUAAACCUCUAAGACGGAUAUUAGAGGUAGACUUGAGGUGUGGUUUAUUCUCAGCCGAGGAUGUUCAUGUUGGCGUACGACAACAUGAAACCUAGUGAUGAGAAUAGAUGCCCUCGCGUGACUUUCGCCUGAUUGGCUUUUGAGCCGUUGUUAGUGGUCUCGUGUUCGACCCAAGUUGGUCGAGAACUAAUCGAGUUGUCGUGUUUCAGGAAGCGAUGGCACCGCGUAGGCGAUCCUCAUCCAGAUCGGCGCGGGAAGGGACAAGUGGUGUUCCUGAGCAAGCUGAGGCGAGCGGAGACCCGAUGCUCCGCGAGCAAUUGAAUACGCUCAUGGGCAUAGUGCAGCGACAGGAGGAGCAGAUCAAGGAGCUCCAUGAAUUGUUGACACGACAGCCUGCGGCGGCUGCGCCGGUAGCAGCGUGCCGUGUACCGACAGGAGUCGCGAUGGAUUCGGGGGCAGCGGCCCCUGGUUCUGUAGAAUUGGAGGCGGAGAAAGAACGGACUUUGGCGGCCCUAAUGACCUUCAGGAAAUUUGAUCCGCCUACCUUCGAUGGAGAGAAUGUCGAUCCGUGGAUCGUGGAGAUGUGGAUUGACUCCAUGGAAACGCUCUUCGAGGAGCUAUACACCUUGGAGCGGGACAAGGUGCCCCUAGCUGUGCAUUGCUUGAAGCAAUCAGCAAAGGCGUGGUGGAAAGGCAUUCGACGGGAUCGAUCGCCUAGUCUUCCUCCUAUGGCGUGGGAUGAAUUUCGGGGAUUAGUGUUUUAUACGUACUUCCCCGACACUGAGAGGAGAAAGCUUCGGGACAAGUUCAGGAAGCUGCGGCAAGGAGACCGCUCCGUGAGGGAAUAUGAACGGGAAUUUUCACGCAUCGUGAAUUGUGUUCCGGAUGUGAUACGGGAUGACAAGGAUAGGGCCGAUUGGUUCCUGCGUGGACUCCGACCGGAGAUUUACAGGAGGGUGCAAAUCUUCCAGCUCACAACCUUUGCUGAGGUGUUGGAUCGGGUUUGUGGGCAGAGCAUGGCGAGGCUUUCGUGCGUGAGGAGCGCGAAUCUCGUAGGCAUGAGCGAGGAGGGGCGAGGCCAUUAUCGAGUGGUUCAUGUGGUCAGUCGAGUUCCAGACACCGCUCGAGGUCAUCCUCUACCCGAUCCUCCUCCGGAUGUGUGAUUUGUGGUGGUUCCCAUCAGGCGCGGCGAUGUGCGCUGCGUGAUGGACGGUGUAUCCAUUGUGGACAGCCCGGCCAUAUGCGGGACGAGUGCCCACAAGGUAAGAGCCAGGCCUUGAUGCUGGCGACGGCCUAUUCCUCUCUGGGACAGCCUGCAGGUGUGCCACCUGCGGCAUGGUCGGGGGAGCGGCCGUUGAGGACAAUGCAACCGGAGGGUUCGCGGUGAGCGCCUAGUGGCCAUGGAUAUGCGACCCAGGUUGAUGAACCUGCUGCCAUCGAUGAUGUCGUUGCAGGUACGAGUUAAUUACAUAAGCAUAUGCUUUUGCGUAAUCUCAAGUGGAUGCAUUGCAUGCAUUUAUCAUAUGGUUAGCACCUCCGAAUUACAUAUUGCAUAGUAGGGACCGAGUGGUUGGGUAGGUAAGCACCCGAGCAUGCUUGCAUCGUAGGAGUGUGGCGCCUGCUGGAGCAGGUAGUGAGCCAAGUGGGACUAGCAAAUCGCUAGCGAUGGUUCUUGGACGAAGAAUGGGACUCGUAGUGAACGUGAAACGGUGGAGCGACUCUCAAGGCAAUGAGUAUCGAAUUGCGAGAGUUGCACCGUGACGUUGCGAAUACCCGAGUGGCCUGAGCAUCUCGGAUAUUAUUUCGGUAGAUCAAACAGGGAGAGUCGAAUCACUGUUGAGAGUGCGGUUGGUUGAGGCCAAGUUUGGCCUGUGGGCCUAGUAGUACCUCGAAUUGAGGUGGACAAGUUGUUACUCGUGUGGCCGUUGCGCAUGGGCUAAGCUCCCUGAUGCUGGACUUCGUGUGAGACGUCGUAGAGGCAUGGAGCGCUCGAGUAUAGAUACUCGUGGAGUGCGGUUUCGAUUCAGCCGGUCGAGUGAAUUGGCAGUAGCACUUCAGCAGGGCUAAGUGUGAAGCGGGCCAUGGAUCACUCGUGAGGGCUGGUGGCUCGCACUAGGUACUUAGGAGCCGGUAGAGUGUGUAGCUCUGUAGAGCAUGUCGUAUAGGACGACGUUGACGGGUAGUGCUUGGGGACGAUCCGUGCCUGGACCAUUUGUGGACUGUGGAGCCUGGGCCCAUUGGGCAGGCGCAGUCAGCUGCGAGAGGCAGCGGCCCGGUACCUACGGGUAGGACAGAGAUUGGUCAGGACGGUAGUCCAAGCUUGGACCCGAGUACGUGGAAUGCCACGUGUUAGAUCGUGAGAUUGAGGACACACCGAGUGUGUGGUGACCCAACCCGAGGACAUGAUGUGGUUUGGGGUCUUGGUUGCUCCUGGUUGGAGUGUGUGCGAAUUCUCCAAUGAGAAUGUCGCCUGAUGAUGAUUAGGUCUACGAUGCGAGCGAGGGACGCUAUGCGUAGUUGCGACGGGUUUAGGCAGUAGGCCUACGUGGUGUUGGUGACCGUUGGUCCACCUGUGGAAGCCGACGUAAUCGGUUUAGCCGAUAACUCCAUGGAGGAGUUGGUGCAAGGGAAGUGAAUUCUCAAAAUGCGAGAGUUGGACUUCACUCAAAAUCGACUAAUUGUCGAGUGGGGGUGCUUCGUGAAAGCCGAAGAAGUCAAAUGCACCAAAAGUGCAUUACAAUGGAGUCCGCGAGAGCAAAUAGUGCAAGAAUUUGCACUUGGCAAACUUGCUCUCGGGGACCGGUCCCUGGCGGGAGGGACCGGUUCCCGAACGUUGUCUACGCGAGCUUGCUCUCGGGGACCGGUCCCAGGAGGGAGGGACCGGUUGCCCCGAGGCUGAGGGCUGUGGCAAGCGCGAGGCAACCGGUCCCUAGGCCAGAGGGACCGGUUCCCGAACACGUGAGAUUGAGGAGGUCCCUCUGGGACCGGUCCCAGGCAGGGAGAGACCGGUCCCCGAGCAUGAAAUUUGCCCAGGCAGGCUGGGUCAUGUUGGAGGGGUUGGAGAGCUUGAGGAUAAUGCUCUUUUAUGGAUUAAGAUUCGAGAUGCGCCGGAGUAGGCCAUCUCUCAAUAGAGCAAAGAUCCAAAUGCGAUUGGAGCACUCGCAGUGGGUCGAUGCACCAAUGAUAUUGCUUCUAAGCGAUAUUGGUGAUCGAAUUGGAGUGUGACCCCUAGAGGGAUGGUGAAAGUGACGAAGAGUCGUAAAUGAGAAAUACGAACUCUUGGAUAGCCAAAGUGGCGGAGCGCCGCUUUGUUGACACUCAGGUGAUUCGAGAGGGCUUACCCGUGUGUGCUGUGUCGUGGUGGUGGACCAUAUGACUAUUGGUGCGUUCUUGAUAGCUCCACACCAUGAGGAUAGCGGGUAGUCCCGGUCUCGAAGGAAGUGGUUUGGCCUUAGUGGGCCAGUUAGUGAAUGGUGUUGGAGCGCGUAGAGUCGUUGAGUUUCGACUUGCGCUACCACCCAGAAUGACGGAGACCCGUAAUGCACUUUUGGACUUACACACAGCAAAUGUGAGCGAAUUUAGUCUCACGUCCUCCGUAGUGGGCCUUCGGAUAGUUCCAAUGAGCGAAAGGCCACUCCGAGAUGCAAAAGUGCACUGUACCCCUUGUCACUCAAUAAAGAGAAUUAGGGUGUGAAUUGGGUUUGAGGUGAGUUAGUUUCGAGGACGAAACUCUUAUUAAGGAGGGGAGGAUGUAAGGUAUCGGACUUCUAAAAUCAUGAAGUUACGGUGUACAUUUGGUUGGAAGACCAUUUGAAUGGUUUCGGUGAGGUCCCGGUGAGGUCCGGAAGCAUUCGGGCGUUUUCGGUACGCGUAGGCGCUAAAACGGAGCCGAAAGGCCAUGUUGGGCCGUGAGCCAAAUCCGGCACUAGCAUGGAUGGAAAGAUGAUGAAAACACGCUCGAAAAUAUGUUUGGAGAGUCUCGGUUCGAUUUGAAAAGAAUCGGAGGUCAAACGAGCGAAAACGAGCGAAAACGGAGAAGAAACGGUGAAAAAGCUGAAAAUUUGGCUAAGUCCUUAAAGGCUGGAAUUCUGGACCUACGGGGACCGGUCCCCCAAGUCAAGGGACCGG
RNAcentral lists this long non-coding RNA (7028 nucleotides) under Ananas comosus (pineapple). RNAcentral's name for it is "long non-coding RNA (ACOM_LNC018181)". The record is from RNAcentral. Lineage: Eukaryota; Viridiplantae; Streptophyta; Magnoliopsida; Poales; Bromeliaceae.